AGGUACGAUCAUACCAGCAGUAAUGCAUCGAAUCCCAUCAGAACUCUGUAGUUAAGCGUGCUUGGGCGAGAGUUGUAGUAGGAUGGGUGAUCUCCUGGGAAGUCCUCGUGUUGCACCUC
Lupinus angustifolius (narrow-leaved blue lupine) is the source of this 119-nucleotide ribosomal RNA. The record is from Rfam. NCBI's taxonomy places the organism in Eukaryota, Viridiplantae, Streptophyta, Magnoliopsida, Fabales, Fabaceae.